This 394-nucleotide unclassified non-coding RNA is filed under the name soil metagenome. Its description in RNAcentral is "partial contains 5.8S ribosomal RNA, internal transcribed spacer 2, and large subunit ribosomal RNA". The stretch from base 1 to 122 matches the Rfam family "5.8S ribosomal RNA", at positions 35 to 154 of the family's 154-position model. The record is from RNAcentral.
GAUGAAGAACGUAGCGAAAUGCCAUACUUGGUGUGAAUUGCAGAAUCCCGUGAACCAUCGAGUCUUUGAACGCAAGUUGCGCCCGAAGCCAUCAGGUUGAGGGCACGUCUGCCUGGGCGUCACAUAUCGUUGCCCAAUGCCUAUUGCAGUGCAAUAGGAAUUUCUAGGGCGAAUGAUGGCUUCCCGUGAGCGUUGUUGCCUCGCGGUUGGUUGAAAAUCGAGUCCUUGGUAGGGUGUGCCAUGGUAGAUGGUGGUCGAGUUAGAACGAUACCGAUCAUGUGCAUGCUCCCCAAAAUAUGGCCUCUAUGACCCACACGCGUCUUUUGACGCUCAUGACGAGACCUCAGGUCAGGCGGGGCUACCCGCUGAAUUUAAGCAUAUCAAUAAGCGGAGA